Molecule: transfer RNA, 90 nt
Filed under: Dreissena polymorpha
Lineage: Eukaryota; Metazoa; Mollusca; Bivalvia; Myida; Dreissenidae
Rfam family: tRNA
About the family: Transfer RNA (tRNA) molecules are approximately 80 nucleotides in length. Their secondary structure includes four short double-helical elements and three loops (D, anti-codon, and T loops).
Source: Rfam by way of RNAcentral
GCCGGAAUAGCUCGGUUGGGAAUGCGUUAGACUGAAAUUGUUUACGCAACAGUCAUCUAAAGGCCCCCGGUUCAAUCCCGGGUUCCGGCA